UAUAAUGUCUACAGACAGAGUGGGUAGAGGUAGACUCAGAUGUUCUGUUAGCUGGGUAUAAUGACAGAGUGGGUAGAGGUAGACUCAGAUGUUCUGUUAGCUGGGUAUAAUGACAGAGUGGGUAGAGGUAGACUCAGAUGUUCUGUUAGCUGGGUAUAAUGACAGAGUGGGUAGAGGUAGACUCAGAUGUUCUGUUAGCUGGGUAUAAUGACAGAGUGGGUAGAGGUGGACUCAGAUGUUCUGUUAGCUGGGUAUAAUGUCUACAGAGCAGACAGAGUGAGUAGAGGUAGACUCAGAUGUUCUGUUAGCUGGGUAUAAUGACAGAGUGAGUAGAGGUAGACUCAGAUGUUCUGUUAGCUGGGUAUAAUGACAGAGUGAGUAGAGGUAGACUCAGAUGUUCUGUUAGCUGGGUAUAAUGACAGAGUGGGUAGAGGUAGACUCAGAUGUUCUGUUAACUGGGUAUAAUGACAGAGUGGGUAGAGGUAGACUCAGAUGUUCUGUUAGCUGGGUAUAAUGACAGAGUGGGUAGAGGUAGACUCAGAUGUUCUGUUAGCUGGGUAUAAUGACAGAGUGGGUAGAGGUAGACUCAGAUGUUCUGUUAGCUGGGUAUAAUGUCUACAGACAGAGUGGGUAGAGGUAGACUCAGAUGUUCUGUUAGCUGGGUAUAAUGACAGAGUGGGUAGAGGUAGACUCAGAU
Oncorhynchus keta (chum salmon) is the source of this 697-nucleotide long non-coding RNA. RefSeq lists it as uncharacterized. The record is from RefSeq and is a predicted model, not a curated record. The transcript is spliced from 3 exons. Lineage: Eukaryota; Metazoa; Chordata; Actinopteri; Salmoniformes; Salmonidae.